This 495-nucleotide ribosomal RNA is filed under the name Veillonella dispar. RNAcentral describes it as "bacterial SSU rRNA". It matches the Rfam family "Bacterial small subunit ribosomal RNA", at positions 28 to 494 of the family's 1533-position model. The record is from RNAcentral. Lineage: Bacteria; Bacillati; Bacillota; Negativicutes; Veillonellales; Veillonellaceae.
GACGAACGCUGGCGGCGUGCUUAACACAUGCAAGUCGAACGAAGAGCGAUGGAAGCUUGCUUCUAUCAAUCUUAGUGGCGAACGGGUGAGUAACGCGUAAUCAACCUGCCCUUCAGAGGGGGACAACAGUUGGAAACGACUGCUAAUACCGCAUACGAUCUAAUCUCGGCAUCGAGGAAAGAUGAAAGGUGGCCUCUAUUUAUAAGCUAUCACUGAAGGAGGGGAUUGCGUCUGAUUAGCUAGUUGGAGGGGUAACGGCCCACCAAGGCGAUGAUCAGUAGCCGGUCUGAGAGGAUGAACGGCCACAUUGGGACUGAGACACGGCCCAGACUCCUACGGGAGGCAGCAGUGGGGAAUCUUCCGCAAUGGACGAAAGUCUGACGGAGCAACGCCGCGUGAGUGAUGACGGCUCCGGGUUGUAAAGCUCUGUUAAUCGGGACGAAAGGCCUUCUUGCGAACAGUUAGAAGGAUUGACGUACCGGAAUAGAAACCACG